GCUUACACAUGCAGUCGAACGGAAACGAAACUAGCUUGCUAGUUGGCGUCGAGUGGCGGACGGGUGAGUAACGCGUAGGAAUCUACCUAGUAGUGGGGGAUAGCCCGAAGAAAUUCGGAUUAAUACCGCAUAAUCUAUUCGUAGUAAAGUGGGGGACUUUCGAGCCUCACGCUACUAGAUGAGCCUGCGUAAGAUUAGCUUGUUGGUAGGGUAAAAGCCUACCAAGGCUACGAUCUUUAGCUGGUCUGAGAGGAUGAUCAGCCACAUCGGGACUGAGACACGGCCCGAACUCCUACGGGAGGCAGCAGUGGGGAAUAUUGGACAAUGGGGGCAACCCUGAUCCAGCAAUACCGCGUGUGUGAAGAAGGCCUGAGGGUUGUAAAGCACUUUCAAUUGUGAAGAAAAGUUAACGGUUAAUAACCGUUAGCCUUGACGUUAACUUUAGAAGAAGCACCGGCUAACUCCGUGCCAGCAGCCGCGGUAAUACGGAGGGUGCAAGCGUUAAUCGGAAUUACUGGGCGUAAAGCGUGCGUAGGCGGUUUAUUAAGUCAGAUGUGAAAGCCCCGGGCUUAACCUGGGAACUGCAUUUGAAACUGGUCAACUAGAGUAUGGUAGAGGAAAGUGGAAUUUCUGGUGUAGCGGUGAAAUGCGUAGAUAUCAGAAGGAACAUCAAUGGCGAANGCAGCUUUCUGGACCAAUACUGACGCUGAGGUACGAAAGCGUGGGUAGCAAACAGGAUUAGAUACCCUGGUAGUCCACGCCGUAAACGAUGAUAACUAGCCGUUGGGGGGAUUUACCCCUUAGUGGCGAAGCUAACGCGUUAAGUUAUCCGCCUGGGGAGUACGGCCGCAAGGUUAAAACUCAAAGGAAUUGACGGGACCCGCACAGCGUGGAGCAUGUGGUUUAUUCGAUGCACGCGAGACCU
This 925-nucleotide ribosomal RNA is filed under the name uncultured bacterium. Its description in RNAcentral is "bacterial SSU rRNA". It matches the Rfam family "Bacterial small subunit ribosomal RNA", at positions 46 to 971 of the family's 1533-position model. The record is from RNAcentral.